This 31-nucleotide ribosomal RNA is filed under the name Armillaria mellea. RNAcentral describes it as "partial small subunit ribosomal RNA". Lineage: Eukaryota; Fungi; Basidiomycota; Agaricomycetes; Agaricales; Physalacriaceae. The record is from RNAcentral.
GGUUUCGUAGGUGACCUGCGGAGGAUCAUUA